GAAUGUCUAUCGUCUAGUAACCCACUAAAUUCUCCACUCAGCCGCUCCUCUUCCUCCUUUAUAUUUUCCAACUAGGUAUGGUGUGGAUAAUCUCCCUUUUUUUUUUAAAUCAUAUUAAGCAGAGUGGCUAGUAGACUUUUGUUUUUCCUCUUCCGAUGUUGGUUCCUCAACGAAUAUGAGUAGGGAGGGUUUGCACGGAUCAUGAUGUCAAUCCUAUGGUACGAACUGUUUCUCGUUGAUGGCUAGAGAGAUUCUCUAUUUGCUUUCUUCUCGUGCAAGCACCCAUUAGAUUUUUCGAUCUCUGGCAUUUGGUUCAGUCUUUAGUUUUCCAUUCCGAUUAUAUUAUAUAUAUGAACUUGUGUAGUAAAAUUUAAGUGCUCCUGCUCUAGGGAAUGCUCAAAUUCAACUACAUAAUUAUAAGCAUUGGCAAUCUAAAUUUUGUUUACUAGUAUUCAUUUGUAAUGUCAAUUUUGACACUUCUAAUCCUUAUUAAGGAGGUGUAUUAUUGGGUUAUAUAUAAUUAAAUGAUUCAAUUAAAUUAAAAGUUAUUAUUUUAAUAACAA
Molecule: long non-coding RNA, 563 nt
Filed under: Manihot esculenta (cassava)
Lineage: Eukaryota; Viridiplantae; Streptophyta; Magnoliopsida; Malpighiales; Euphorbiaceae
Description: long non-coding RNA (MESC_LNC006554)
Source: RNAcentral